RNAcentral lists this ribosomal RNA (167 nucleotides) under Krameria pauciflora. Its description in RNAcentral is "5.8S ribosomal RNA". It matches the Rfam family "5.8S ribosomal RNA". From Rfam's summary of the family: 5.8S ribosomal RNA (5.8S rRNA) is a component of the large subunit of the eukaryotic ribosome. It is transcribed by RNA polymerase I as part of the 45S precursor that also contains 18S and 28S rRNA. Lineage: Eukaryota; Viridiplantae; Streptophyta; Magnoliopsida; Zygophyllales; Krameriaceae. The record is from RNAcentral.
ACAAGAACGACUCUCGGCAACGGAUAUCUCGGCUCUCGCAUCGAUGAAGAACGUAGCGAAAUGCGAUACUUGGUGUGAAUUGCAGAAUCCCGUGAACCAUCGAGUCUUUGAAUGCAAGUUGCGCCCGAAGCCGUUAGGUUGAGGGCACGUCUGCCUGGGUGUCACAC